CUCUUUAGAAUAGGACUAGCUCCUAAUACACGGAUAGAAGAGCCAUCACACUUCUUUACAAGUCAUAACAAUGACAAUAAUGACAAUAACUAAUAUUUACUCAAUGCUCACUCUGUGCUGAGCCUUCUACCAAAUGCUCUGUGGGCACUGUCUAUUUAAUCGUCACAUGAAUAUGCUGGGGUCAUCACCAUGAUUCCCACUUUCAAGAUGAGAUAACCAAGACUUUGAAAUGUUAAGACUCAUCCAUAGACACUGCUGGAAAGAUCUGGGACACCACAUACUGCUGAGCCCACUGGGGCAUGGUAGAGCUGAUGUGCUUCACCAACUAGACCUCUCUAACAUCCUCUGUCUCCCCAUGACCUGAACCAACGGGAUCCCCAAGCCUGGCUGUGCACAAGAAGUCCCUAUGGAGUUUGUCAAAAAUAAGAUGCUCAGGGCCAGUGUUCACCUACUGAAUCAGAGUGUUCUAGUCCACAGCCCACAAAUCUGUCUUAAAACAACCUCCUUGGGUGCUGUUCAUGGAUACUGGGCCUGGGAACCCCUGUUUAAGGCUGUUGACUUUUUCCGGUGGCUAGAGCCAACGAGUCUAAGCUUUGAGGCCUCCUGCCCUUCUCUUGCCUUCCAAGUGGGCUGCUUCUGUAGUUCUAUGAGAGCAAGGGUGCUGUGUUGGGGCUAGAGUCUUGUAAGAUGCCUGGUUGCUUAAGAAAAUUCAGACUUCUGGGGCACCUGGGUGGCCCAGUCGGUUAAACAUCUGACUCUUGAUUUUGGCUCAGAUCAUGAUCCCACAGGUUAGUGGAAUCGAGCCCCGCGUCAGGCUAUGUGCUGACAGCGUGGAGCCUGCUUGGGAUUCUUAGAUCAUGGUUUUGUUAGGGGCAGAUAGAAAGCUGAUAAACAAUCCAUUUGUUCUAUUACAGUAGCUCCUAGCCACACCACUGGAGUUAAGCCUCCAUGCUCAUUUCCUUGGGGUAAGAUCUCUCUCUACCCCUCCCCCCCACUCACUCUCUCUCUCUCUCUCUCUCAAAAUAAAUAAAUAAAUGUUAAAAAAAAAUGAAAGAAAGAAAAGAAAAGAAAAGAAAAGAAAAGAAAAUUCAGACUUCUUGGCCCUCCUGCCCAGAGGGAGAGUUGUUAUAUACAAGUAGAGGCCAGGUGGUCAGGAGACGGGGGAAGACACAGCUACUGCCAGCUGCCCCAGCCUCUCCUUUCUGAGAAGUCACUCAGACCCCUGUCAGGCAGCUGUCCUCCUGCCAGGAGAGAGACAUUCUUCCAUGUAUGGCCAUCAAGAUUCUAGUCAGUUGGUGAGUCAAGUCCCCAACAGCUUGGUCAAUAUUAUUGAACUGACUUCACAGCAUCCCAGGGAAGGCAGAGCCAAGGAAGGUGAGCCAGAGGAGGGGCUGAGAGUCUGCCUGGUCAUUUGAUAGAUGUGAAACUGAGGCCCAGAAGGGGAGAGAGAAGGGAAGUAUCUGUAUUUUGACCCCUAUUUAUCUAUAAGAAAAUUCAGGCUCAAAGAGAUGUUGAGAGGCUUACCCUGAAUCAAAUAGUGUUAAGUAGGCAAGUAGGUUAUUUAGUUAGAAUGGCCUUCAGGUUUACCGAAUGAGCUUUCUGUACUACGUGAACAUCUCUUUCUCUCUCUGUUUCUCUGGUACCUAAUCAGUAUGAUUAGGUAGCUCUGGAAAAUACGACACCUGUGUCAGUGGGUACAGAAUUAUUUGGGAAGUCAUUCUCACCAAGCAUUACACAUAUUGCCUACACUUCGUCUUUACAUAUCCACGUCCAGAACUGGGAUUGAAGAACACACUGCUGGGUCCAAGCACAUGUUGAAUCCGGGGCUUGCCAAAGCCUGGGUUUCUGACUCAUUUCUCUUUCCAUAAUCAUAUCCAACUGAUCAUUAUUAAAUGGUUCUUCAGCUUUGUCAGUUCCACCAUUACUCAAUCCACCCCCUUUUUCAAAAUAUAUUUUUUAAAUUUUUUUAAGAGAGACAGAGCACGAGCAGGGGAGAGGGGCAGAGGGAGAGGGAGAGAAAGAGAGAGAGAGACAGAAAGACAGAGAGAGAAUCUUAAGCAGGCUCCACAUUUAGCACAAAGCCCAAGAAAGGGCUUGAUCCCAUGCCCCUGGGAUCAUGACCUAAGCCAAAAUCAAGAGUCAGAUGCUCAACUGACUGAGCCACCCAGGUGGCCCUUAAAAUAUAUUUUAAAAUUAUAGACAAAUCAAGUGCCACAUAGUUUCUUGCCUAUGUUGUAAAAUCUCCAGUUUUCAGGAAAAUAACAGCCAAUAUUCAUCGAGCAUUUCCUAUAUACCAGGCACUAUUCCAAGCAUUAUACGUGCCUUCUAUUACUGAACUUUUGCAACAACCUUUUGACGUAGGUACUAUUAUUAUCCCUAGUUUAUACAGCAAGGAAUCUGAAACUCAGAGAAGGUCUGUAACUUACCUAAGGUCCUACAGCUGGGAUUCAAAUCUGGGCAGACUUCCUCUAGGACCUGCCCCUUUCACUGUAGUGUCUCUCAUACUUCUGGAAAUAAGAUUUGAGAUAUUGAGAACCAUCUACCUUAUUAAAAUGUCAAUGAACAUUUAUUGGGUGCCUUUGGUAAGGAAAGUCCUAUAGUAUUUACAAAGGUGAUUUAAGAGAUAGCCCUUCCUCUUACAGUGAGUCAAGCAGGUAUUCAGUUAAUAUAAUAAAAGGCAGACUGUCCUAAAGACCACACUGGAGGCAGAGAUAAAGCGUGAUAAAAACACAUGAAAAGGAUAGUCAAUAAGCAGGCAAUCAACAAGGACUUCCUGGAGGAGGUGGCCUAAGUAAUUUCCUUAAAUGACAAAUAAGGCACUACUAGUAGAGAUGGGGGAGUACAGUCCCCAUCUGCCAGGCAGUGUGGUAUAAUGAGUGGGCUCCAAUCCAGAUGUCAUCACUUACUAGCUAUGCAGCUUCAUCUGUGAGCCCUGCGCUCCUCAUUUGUAGUCACAUGGACCCUUCAGAGCCAUGCUGAUUGUGGUGGGCAUAAUGCAUAUGAAAAUCUAGAACAUCACACAGGAGGGGCUCACUGAUGUGCUGUUCCCUUUUAAGUUCACUGAGUCAUUUCAGAACGCAGUGCUCUGGGGCCGCCGUCCAACAAAGCCUGGUCUGUGUUCCUCUGAGAAAGCACUCUCGUCAAAGCUCUGCUUCAGUCAAAUAUUCAAAAGCAGACCACUUCAACUCACAACAGGGUUUGUAAAGGAAAUGAGCAUGGAGGCUUAACUCCAGUGGUGUGGCUAGGAGCUACUGUAAUAGAACAAAUGGAUUGUUUAUCAGCUUUCUAUCUGCCCCUAACAAAACCAUGUGAAAUGAGGCAUUAAACUCCGGGUUUUUUAAAAAGAUGACAAACACUGGCUAAUUUACUGGAGUAGAACAUAGGGAGUCAAAUGUUUAGUUUUGCAUUAAAUCUAUAUCUAGCAUUUUCAUUAAAAGGGGCAAAAUGUAGACUUUAUUGAUGCUUCAGUGCCCAUUUCAGAUUAAUGCCUAACAUUUAAAACUGUGCGUGAAAUUGCAAAUGUAUCAGCAAACACACAAGAAGGACCAGACUAAGUGCUGUGUGCUUAUUCAUAGCCAGCCAUUUCUGCGGCGGCCCAUGUGUUAUUACAGGGGUUAUUUGCCCACACUUGCCUAGGCUGUGAAUAGUUAAUAUCCCUGAUUGCUUAGUUAAAUAUCUUUUUAGACUGAGAGAGAGGACAGGGAAGGAAUAGGGAUCAUAUAAUUUUUGUGUAAUGAACAAUUAAGUCAUGAUACCCUUCUUGAUUUAUAGUUGAUAUUUCCAGGGUAAUUAGAGUUGUAUCCUUCUGGAAAAAAAAAGCUGUUAGCUUCCUUAAUCGUCAUUCAUGGCCACACUUUAGCUGAAGUAGCUAAGGAAUAAAAAGGACUAAAGACCUUAGAUUAAAAAUAAUUAUUUUUCAAACAGAAUCUAAUUUAUGCCACCACCAAAACAAUAAGAUGAAAUUCUCCCCCAUUAUGAGAUGAGAACAUUUUUUAAUAAUAAGUCUUGACUCAGAUAUGUCUUAAAUGAGGUUAUCCAAAUGGCUGGGGAGAAACUCUGUAAUAGAAGUUAUCUUCUAUAUCUUCACUACAUAGAGUAAUAAGAGAUAAAUGCUAUAUAAAUGAAAAGUGAUACAGUUCAGAAUUAGGAAACAGGCUGGUGUGAUUUGUAUGGAAGUAGGCUUUGGAGUCAGACUCCUUGGCUUCGAAUCCCAGAUCUGGUCCUUGCUAGCAAUUACUAACUGGCAGACCCCACCUGAAUAUGCAGUGGAGGGGGGUUAAGUUCUUCAAAGGGAGGGAGGUGGUGUCCCAAGAUGAGAAACAAAAAGGAUACAAGGAGAUGGAAACAACAGAUGUCUAGGCUACUUCAAGAAUGAUAAUGUAACUGAGGGUUGGAGGGCAGGGACCAAAGGCCCACUCUCAAAUCCACAGGACAGACAAGGGCUCAGAAGCUAAAGAAUUUAAAGUAGAAGCUGAGGAUUCACUUCAAACUUACAUGAGGUGAUGGUCCACAGAACAGGCUCACAUCCAGCCUCACUAUACAACAGCAGCACCAUACUGGGGAUGUUCCCCAAGCACCUCAGACAGUGACGACUAGCCAUGAGAGCAAGCUAUAUAAACACAGUGUCCAGGACGAGAUUGACGAUUGGUUUCAGAGAAAGAGGUGGGAUGGGCCAGAGCAGAGAACCCAUGGAAUGAUCUACGGACCUCCAAACGCUUUAUUUUGACCUUGUGUUUAAUCUUGUGUCUCAUUCAUUCAGGUAUUCUCAUAGCAUACAAGAUUAGACACUAACUACUGAGUGCCUCGGUACCACCCAGCACCCCCAACCGAUCUGCAGGAGGAUUUGCUUCUAGGAAUACACACAGGGAUUCAGAUACUAUCUCGAGGGAUCUCUGCUUUCUGUUUGGGUUCCAGGUUCCCAGAGAAUAAACCAUCAAUAUCUAGGCCUCUAUUUUCCAAACAGAAUUCAAAGAAUAGUAAUUCUAGUGGAAAUAAUGGGUGCUACACAAGAGGGGUUCUAUGAUCAAACACAUUUUUUAAGCGAUUUCUACACCCAACAUGAGGCUCAAACUCACAACGUCGAGAUCAAGAGUCGGGUGCUCUACAGACUGAGCCAGCCAGGUGCCCCUAAACAAAUCUUAAAGACACCCUCUUAAAGUUACAUUUAUGUCUCUAUUCUGCAAGACUUCUCAGAGCCUUUAAGAGGAUAAUGUUCCAGGGUGUCUGGGUGGCUCAGUCAGUUAAGCAUUUGACUCUUGAUUUCAGCUCAGGUGGUGGUCUCAUGGUUCAUGGGUUCAAGCCCCACAUCAAACUCUGUGCUGACAGUGCACAGCCUGCUUGGGAUUCUCUCUCUGCCCUGCCCCCGCUUGUGCGUGCACCCUCGCUUGUGCAUUCUCUCUCGCGCGCUCAAAAUAAGUAAAUAAACUUAAGAAGAAAGAAAGAAAGAAAGAAAGAAAGAAAGAAAGAAAGAAAGCCUCAAGGGAAUGCUGCUCCCACACUAGUAACAAGAAAAAAUAUGGAUAAUCUACAAAACUCUCACUUUGUUGAGCCCAUCAGAGAACUGAGCUGUAAAGCAACCAGAGAACUGAAUUCUAAAUGAUGAUAAGCCCUUCUGAGCCGAGACACAAGACACACCAACUAUUUCUCUUCUGGCAAAGAAUAAGAAGAAUAGGCAAUUACCACAGAACUGGGCCAAGAGUCUGAGAUGAGGGUGCCAGCAUGGUUGGGUUCCAGUGAGAGCUAUGUUCCUGAUCUACAGAUGACCAACCACCUUCUCACCGAGUCCUCACAUGGCUGAGAGGGCAGACAGACAGAGACGUCUGAUGGCCCUUCUUACCGGGUCAGUAAUCCAUCAUGGGGGUCCUACUCUCAAGGCCUAAUCUAAACCUAAUUAUCUCCCAAAGGUCCCCAGCUCAGAAUACCAUUAGUGGUUAGGGCUUCAAAAUACAAAUUUGAGGAGGCAACACAAUUCUGUCCCUAGCAAGUUACAAAGAGCACUUUCCCAAUUUAGUAAAAAUUAGUUGUUUUUACCUGACAAUUUUUUGGUUCCCCUUUUUUCCUGUUAAUAUUUGCCUAGUUUUCUUCUAGGAAUUCACUUACCCACUUUCAAUUCAUGUGUGUUUCAGGUGGGGCUGACUCCUCCCAUCCCUACCUUUAGGGGUGGGGACAUGAGCAAGGCCUGGCCAACAAUCAUAUUCCACAUCUAGGCUAAACUAAUCAGUUCAGAGAUAAACACGUGUCAGCCAAGACAGUUCAAUGAGAGAAAGUCCUGGAACUUUUUAAUGUAACUACUGGGAAAGAGAAACUCUUCUAGCUCCUGAAGCUGCUAAGGCCGGAGUUGCUAACUGUGAAGAGAGACCCUGCCUGAGAUGGAAACCUCUGCGUUCUGAGGAAGGAAGACCUGAAAGAUGGUGAUGGGGUCCUAAAGACAUUGUCUGAGUGCUGGACCAUCAAGUAAUUUAACUGAACUAACAUCUCUAUAACAUUAAGUGAACCUAAGAUGCCUGGGUGGCUCAGUCAGUUAAGCAUCUAACUUUGGCUCAGAUUCAUGAUCUCACUGUUCGUGAGUUCGAGCCCUACAUCCAGCUCUCUGCUGUCAACAUGGAACUUGCAUCAGAUGCUCUAUCUCCCUCUCUCUGCAUCCGCCCGUGCCUCUCAAAAUAAGUAGAUAUUUUAAUAAAUAAAUGAACCCAAGCAUUUUUCUCUCAAACCAGCUUGCUGUUUGACCAAAUUUAAUGUUUAUUGUUUCAAAAUUACAUCAAGAGAAAAUCUUUGUCACCUUGUAAUAGGCAGAGUUCUUAGAUACAACAUCUAAAGCAUGAGCCAUUAAAGAAAAAAUUGAUAAGUUGGACUUCAUCAAAAUUUUUAAGUUCUGUUCUAUGAAAAACACUGUUAAGAGAAUGAAAAGACAAGCUACAGACUGGGAGAAAAUAUUUGCAAAUCACAUAUCUGACAAAGGAUUUAUAUCUAGAAUAUAUAAAGAACUUCCAAAACUCAAUAAAAAAAAACUAAAAAAAUGGAGGAAAGACUUGAACAGACACUUUACUAAAGAAGAUAUACAGAUGGUCAACAAGUACAUGACAAGAUUUUCAACGUUAUUAGUCAUUACAGAAAUGCAUAUUCAAGCCACAAUGAGACACUAUCUCACACCUAUUAGUAUGGCUUUAAAAAAAAACACACAAAACCUGACAAUUAGGGCACCUGGGUGGCUCAGUCUGUUGAGCAUCCGACUCUUGAAUUCAGCUCAGAUCAUGAUCACAGGGUUGUGGGAUCAAGCCCUGUGCUGGGCUUCAUGCUAAACAUGGAGCCUGCUUAAGAUUCUCUCUCUCUAUCCCUCUGCCCCUCUCCCCUGCUUGCCUGUGUGCUCUCUCUCGCUCUCUCGCUCUAAAAUAACUUUAAAAAACUGGUAAUAAUAAGCGCUGAUAAGAAUCAAGAGCAACUGGGGAGGUGCCUGUGAAGCUCAGUUGGUUAAGCAUCCAACUCUUGAUUUCAACUCAGGUCAUGAUCUCACAGUUCUGAGAUUGAACCCUGCUAUAGGGCUCUGUGCUGACAGUAUGAACCCCCUUGGGAUUCUCUCUCCCUCUGUCUCUGUCCCUCCCCUGCUCACGUUCUCUAUCUCAAAAUAAAUAAAUAAACAUUAAAAACAAACUGGGAGCAACUGGAACUGUCAUAUACUGCAGGUGGGAAUGUAAUAUGGUACAGCCACUGCAGUGGAUUAAGUAAGUGUCCCCCCCAAAUUCAUGUCCACUCUGAACCUCAUUAUGUGACCUUAUUUGGAACUAGGGUCUUUGCAGAUAUAAUUAAUUAAGAUAAGGUCAGUUGGUUAGGGAGGGCCCUAAAUCCAGUGACUGGUGUCCUCAAAAGAAGAGGAAGGACACAAA
Long non-coding RNA from Panthera uncia (snow leopard), 7880 nucleotides. RefSeq lists it as uncharacterized. The record is from RefSeq and is a predicted model, not a curated record. NCBI's taxonomy places the organism in Eukaryota, Metazoa, Chordata, Mammalia, Carnivora, Felidae. The transcript is spliced from 2 exons.